This 460-nucleotide ribosomal RNA is filed under the name uncultured bacterium. RNAcentral describes it as "partial 16S ribosomal RNA". It matches the Rfam family "Bacterial small subunit ribosomal RNA", at positions 338 to 795 of the family's 1533-position model. The record is from RNAcentral.
CCUACGGGAGGCAGCAGUGAGGAAUAUUGGUCAAUGGACGCAAGUCUGAACCAGCCAUGCCGCGUGCAGGAAGACGGCUCUAUGAGUUGUAAACUGCUUUUGUACGAGGGUAAACGCAGAUACGCGUAUCUGUCUGAAAGUAUCGUACGAAUAAGGAUCGGCUAACUCCGUGCCAGCAGCCGCGGUAAUACGGAGGAUUCAAGCGUUAUCCGGAUUUAUUGGGUUUAAAGGGUGCGUAGGCGGUCGGAUAAGUUAGAGGUGAAAUCCCGAGGCUCAACUUCGGAAUUGCCUCUGAUACUGUUCGGCUAGAGAGUAGUUGCGGUAGGCGGAAUGUAUGGUGUAGCGGGGAAAUGCUUAGAGAUCAGACAGAACACCGAUUGAGAAGGCAGCUUACCAAGCUACUUCUGACGUUGAGGCACGAAAGCGUGGGGAGCAAACAGGAUUAGAUACCCCAGUAGUG